GACAUUUGGUAGAGACUGUUGAAGCCACCUGGUCCCAGCAGACCCCAGAAAACGGCCACAUUGGCUGGUGCUGGAACAAGGCCGUUAAGGGUGAAGCCUGGUGCCAGAUGUGU
This 113-nucleotide ribosomal RNA is filed under the name Panthera pardus (leopard). The record is from RNAcentral. Lineage: Eukaryota; Metazoa; Chordata; Mammalia; Carnivora; Felidae.